Molecule: ribosomal RNA, 164 nt
Filed under: uncultured bacterium
Lineage: Bacteria
Description: partial 16S rRNA
Rfam family: Bacterial small subunit ribosomal RNA
Source: RNAcentral
UAGGGAAUCUUCCACAAUGGACGAAAGUCUGAUGGAGCAACGCCGCGUGAGUGAAGAAGGGUUUCGGCUCGUAAAACUCUGUUGUUAAAGGAGAACAUAUCUGAGAGUAACUGUUCAGGUAUUGACGGUAUUUAACCAGAAAGCCACGGCCAACUACGUGCCAG